GGCAGCUUAGCUCAGUCGGUUAGAGCGAAGGUCUCAUAAUCCUUAGGUCCCGAGUUCGAAUCUCGGAGCUGCCA
Molecule: transfer RNA, 74 nt
Filed under: Cyanobacteria bacterium UBA8156
Lineage: Bacteria; Bacillati; Cyanobacteriota
Also listed under: 2 other names
Description: tRNA-Met
Rfam family: tRNA
About the family: Transfer RNA (tRNA) molecules are approximately 80 nucleotides in length. Their secondary structure includes four short double-helical elements and three loops (D, anti-codon, and T loops). Further hydrogen bonds mediate the characteristic L-shaped molecular structure. tRNAs have two regions of fundamental functional importance: the anti-codon, which is responsible for specific mRNA codon recognition, and the 3' end, to which the tRNAs corresponding amino acid is attached (by aminoacyl-tRNA synthetases). tRNAs cope with the degeneracy of the genetic code in two manners: having more than one tRNA (with a specific anti-codon) for a particular amino acid; and 'wobble' base-pairing, i.e. permitting non-standard base-pairing at the 3rd anti-codon position.
Source: RNAcentral